This is a long non-coding RNA of Bubalus bubalis (water buffalo), 310 nucleotides long. RefSeq lists it as uncharacterized. The transcript has 2 exons. Lineage: Eukaryota; Metazoa; Chordata; Mammalia; Artiodactyla; Bovidae. The record is from RefSeq and is a predicted model, not a curated record.
AUUUGUUCUUGCCUUGGGAAAAUACCAAACAACUCUUCACUCCCUAGAAUAGCCUGCUUUUAUAUUUAAAGAACAAAAACCAAGAAGAAUGACGAGAAGCAGCACUGAGCGUGCCACAUGGGAAGGAGGGACUUCAAGGACCACCGUUUCAGUGGAGACAUGGCAGAUUUCAAGUGAAGACCUGUAAACCCCCUGCCUCCCCGCCCCUCCCCAGCUGGGGCUUGUUCCCCAUCCAUGAGGCUGCAGAGCACCCACCUAUGCGCUGCUCUGUCGUGUUCACCGAGCUGACCCGGAGCAGGGGCUUUGGGAC